UUGAACGCUGGCGGAAUGCUUUACACAUGCAAGUCGAGCGGCAGCGCGGGGCAACCUGGCGGCGAGCGGCGAACGGGUGAGUAAUAUAUCGGAACGUAUCCAAUAAUGGGGGAUAACGAGUCGAAAGACUUGCUAAUACCGCAUACGCCCUACGGGGGAAAGCAGGGGAUCGCAAGACCUUGCGUUAAUGGAGCGGCCGAUAUCUGAUUAGCUAGUUGGUGGGGUAAAGGCCCACCAAGGCAUCGAUCAGUAGCUGGUCUGAGAGGACGACCAGCCACACUGGAACUGAGACACGGUCCAGACUCCUACGGGAGGCAGCAGUGGGGAAUUUUGGACAAUGGGGGCAACCCUGAUCCAGCCAUUCCGCGUGAGUGAAGAAGGCCUUCGGGUUGUAAAGCUCUUUCGCAAGGGAAGAAAACUUACCCAAUAACACCGGGUGAGGCUGACGGUACCUUGAUAAGAAGCACCGGCUAACUACGU
RNAcentral lists this ribosomal RNA (480 nucleotides) under uncultured bacterium. RNAcentral describes it as "bacterial SSU rRNA". It matches the Rfam family "Bacterial small subunit ribosomal RNA", at positions 30 to 506 of the family's 1533-position model. The record is from RNAcentral.